Camelina sativa (false flax) is the source of this 2260-nucleotide non-coding RNA. Lineage: Eukaryota; Viridiplantae; Streptophyta; Magnoliopsida; Brassicales; Brassicaceae. The record is from RefSeq and is a predicted model, not a curated record.
UUUCUCUCUCUCAGUUUCUCUUUAAUCCUUUUUUUUUUUUUGGGUUAUUUUGUGUUUUUUUUUCAGCGUUUUAUAAGAAUCCUUCAAGAUCUCUCAUUCAUCAUUUGCUGUUUGAGAAUCUUCUUGGAUCAUUCUCUCUAAAGAUCAUUCUUUCUUUAGGGAUUUUUCAGAAAGUUUCGUUUUUUUCUUUUUCUUUCCUCUCUUCUCCGAUCCGCCGCCGUGGGUUUUUGGUGGUUACGAUGACGAUCAAAGAUGAGUCGGAGAGUUGCGGUAGCAGAGCCGUCGUUGCUUCGGCGUCUCAAGAAAACCCUAGACAUUACCGGAUGAAACUCGAUGUCUACAGUGAGGUUUUACAGCGACUUCAAGAAUCUAAUUACGAAGAAGCAACUCUUCCUGAUUUCGAGGAUCAGCUCUGGCUCCAUUUCAAUCGUCUUCCUGCUCGGUAUGCUCUUGAUGUUAAAGUUGAGAGAGCGGAAGAUGUUCUUACACAUCAGAGAUUGCUAAAAUUGGCGGAAGAUCCUGCGACUAGGCCUGUGUUUGAAGUUCGUAGUGUACAGGUUCCUCCAAGAACUUCUCCUGACUCUGACCCUGCUGUGGAGGAAGAUGCCCAAAGCUCUCACCAACCAAGUGGGCAAGGGAUUCUUGCUCCUCCGACUUUUGGUUCUUCUCCAAAUUUUGAGGCUAUUACUCAGGGAAAUAAAAUUGUUGAAGAUGUCGAUAGUGCUGUAAAUGUAACAUUGUCUACUCGACCGAUGCACGAGAUCACAUUUUCAACCAUUGAUAAGCCCAAACUCCUUAGCCAGCUAACUUCCCUACUUGGUGAGCUUGGACUGAAUAUACAAGAGGCUCAUGCUUUUUCCACGGUGGAUGGUUUCUCUCUAGAUGUCUUUGUAGUAGAUGGUUGGUCUCAGGAGGAAACAGAUGGUCUAAAGGAUGCAUUGAGCAAAGAGAUACUGAAGCUUAAGGAUCAACCUGGUUCAAAAUAUAAAUCUAUUGCUUUCUUUGAGCAUGACAAAUCAAGCAAUGAGCUUAUACCCGCCUGCAUUGAAAUACCCACGGAUGGAACGGAUGAGUGGGAAAUUGACGUAGCACAGCUCAAAAUUGAAAAGAAAGUUGCAUCUGGUUCAUAUGGGGAUCUGCAUAGAGGCAUUUAUUGCAGUCAGGAAGUAGCUAUCAAAUUUCUCAAGCCUGAGCGUGUAAACACUGAUAUGCUUAGAGAAUUUUCUCAAGAAGUUUUUAUAAUGAGGAAAGUUAGACACAAAAACGUCGUUCAAUUUUUGGGUGCAUGCACAAGAUCUCCAACUCUCUGUAUAGUGACUGAGUUUAUGGCUCGAGGGAGCAUAUAUGAUUUUCUUCACAAACAGAAAUGCGCUUUUAAACUUCAGACUUUGCUUAAAGUUGCACUUGAUGUGGCAAAAGGAAUGAGCUAUUUGCAUCAAAACAACAUUAUUCACAGGGACCUUAAGACUGCGAAUCUUCUUAUGGAUGAACAUGGACUUGUCAAGGUUGCUGAUUUCGGAGUUGCCAGAGUGCAGAUUGAAUCAGGGGUCAUGACAGCUGAAACAGGGACUUACCGGUGGAUGGCUCCAGAGGUCAUUGAGCACAAACCUUACAACCAUAAGGCAGAUGUGUUCAGCUAUGCGAUAGUGCUAUGGGAACUUUUGACUGGUGACAUCCCGUAUGCUUUCUUGACUCCGCUACAAGCAGCUGUUGGCGUUGUCCAAAAGGGGCUUCGACCAAAAAUUCCAAAGAAAACACACCCAAAAGUGAAGGGACUUCUAGAGAGAUGUUGGCACCAAGACCCAGAACAGAGACCACUCUUCGAGGAAAUCAUAGAAAUGCUGCAACAGAUAAUGAAUGAGGUAAACGCCGUAGUGUGAUCCCAGAGUAAAAACCCUACCCUUACAAGGAGAGAUUCUCAGAGCAGGAUGUGUGGAUGUGGUGGAAACAAAGCAGGUUGGAGAUGAAGACCCUAGCAAGGACAACCAGUGCAUGUCUUUCCUGACUACUCCCUUUAGAAAGCCCCGUUACUAGUUCUGAUACUAAAAAAAUCAGUUUCACGAUUGAAGGCACUAUUUUGUUGGCCUUUGUACAGUUUCUUUUUUUCAUUGGGGAGGAUCUAGUUUUUGACCUUUAGAGAGCGUUUUCUCCUUUUUUAGUUGCUCCCUGAUUCAUUUUCACAUAGAAGAAAUUAGAAACCCUUUUCUUCUGUCACUUCUUUUUUUCUUUUUCCUUUCAUAAAGAAAGCAAGUUUAAUAGA